GAUGAACGCUGGCGGUAUGCUUAACACAUGCAGGUCGAACGGAAUGCUUAGGCAUUUAGUGGCGGACGGGUGAGUAACGCGUGAGAAACUGCAUUCAGGUCGGGGACAACCACUGGAAACGGCGGCUAAUACCGGAUGUGCCGGAAGGUGAAAGGCUUGCCGCCUGAGAAAAGAGCUCGCGUCUGAUUAGCUAGUAGGGGGUGUAAGAGACCACCUAGGCGACGAUCAGUAGCUGGUCUGAGAGGAUGAUCAGCCACACUGGGACUGAGACACGGCCCAGACUCCUACGGGAGGCAGCAGUGGGGAAUUUUCCG
This 314-nucleotide ribosomal RNA is filed under the name uncultured bacterium. Its description in RNAcentral is "bacterial SSU rRNA". It matches the Rfam family "Bacterial small subunit ribosomal RNA", at positions 28 to 368 of the family's 1533-position model. The record is from RNAcentral.